GCAUCUGAAUCUUUCCUGCUCCUUGCAAUAUAGUGCUGGACUGGGGACACAUGAUGCAACAGAAAAGCAGAGGAAAUCCAGACGGGCUCCCUUUCACCGCAGUGGGACUUGUCUCUACACCUUUGCAACAUUU
Molecule: small nucleolar RNA, 133 nt
Organism: Anser brachyrhynchus (Pink-footed goose)
Lineage: Eukaryota; Metazoa; Chordata; Aves; Anseriformes; Anatidae
Source: Ensembl